AUUGAGCGCUGGCGGCAUGCCUUACACAUGCAAGUCGAACGGCAGCGCGGACUUCGGUCUGGCGGCGAGUGGCGAACGGGUGAGUAAUACAUCGGAACGUACCCUGUUGUGGGGGAUAACUAGUCGAAAGAUUAGCUAAUACCGCAUACGACCUGAGGGUGAAAGUGGGGGACCGGAAACGGCCUCAUGCAGCAGGAGCGGCCGAUGUCUGAUUAGCUAGUUGGUGGGGUAAAGGCCCACCAAGGCGACGAUCAGUAGCUGGUCUGAGAGGACGAUCAGCCACACUGGGACUGAGACACGGCCCAGACUCCUACGGGAGGCAGCAGUGGGGAAUUUUGGACAAUGGGGGCAACCCUGAUCCAGCAAUGCCGCGUGUGUGAAGAAGGCCUUCGGGUUGUAAAGCACUUUUGUCCGGAAAGAAAUCGCGCUGGUUAAUACCUGGCGUGGAUGACGGUACCGGAAGAAUAAGCACCGGCUAACUACGUG
This 486-nucleotide ribosomal RNA is filed under the name uncultured bacterium. Its description in RNAcentral is "partial 16S ribosomal RNA". It matches the Rfam family "Bacterial small subunit ribosomal RNA", at positions 30 to 507 of the family's 1533-position model. The record is from RNAcentral.